RNAcentral lists this ribosomal RNA (456 nucleotides) under uncultured bacterium. Its description in RNAcentral is "bacterial SSU rRNA". It matches the Rfam family "Bacterial small subunit ribosomal RNA", at positions 29 to 477 of the family's 1533-position model. The record is from RNAcentral.
AAUGAACGCUGGCGGCGCGCCUAAUACAUGCAAGUCGAGCGAGAAGACGUAGCAAUACGUUUGUAAAGCGGCGAACGGGUGAGGAAUACAUGGGUAACCUACCCUCGAGUGGGGAAUAACUAGCCGAAAGGUUAGCUAAUACCGCGUACGCUUCUUGGACUUCGGUUCAGGGAGGAAAGCGAUGCCGAGGGUAUCGCGCUCUUGGAUGGGCUCAUGUCCUAUCAGCUUGUUGGGAGGUAACGGCUCACCAAGGCUUCGACGGGUAGCUGGUCUGAGAGGACGAUCAGCCACACUGGCACUGCGACACGGGCCAGACUCCUACGGGAGGCAGCAGUAAGGAUAUUGGACAAUGGGCGCAAGCCUGAUCCAGCGAUGCCGCGUGUGUGAAGAAGGCCUGCGGGUUGUAAAGCACUUUCAGUAGGGAAGAAAGCCGAGUGCUAAUAUCACUCGGUCUUG